Molecule: ribosomal RNA, 482 nt
Filed under: uncultured bacterium
Lineage: Bacteria
Description: partial 16S ribosomal RNA
Rfam family: Bacterial small subunit ribosomal RNA
Source: RNAcentral
AUUGAACGCUGGCGGCAUGCCUUACACAUGCAAGUCGAACGGUAACAGGUCUUCGGUUGCUGUCGAGCGGCGGACGGGGGCGUAUUACUACGGCACGUGCCCGCUCGCGGGGGGUCACGGGGCACAAGCUUUGAUAAUACCUCAUACGGUCUACGAUUGCGAGCGGGGUGUUUCCGGACCUCGAGCUGGCGGUGCGGCCGAUGACAGAUUAGGUAGUUGGUGGGAUAAAAGCUUACCAAGCCGACGAUCUGUAGCUGGUCUGAGAGGAUGAUCAGCCACACUGGGACUGAGACACGGCCCAGACUCCUACGGGAGGCAGCAGUGGGGAAUUUUGGACAAUGGGCGAAAGCCUGAUCCAGCCAUGCCGCGUGCAGGAUGAAGGCCUUCGGGUUGUAAACUGCUUUUGUACGGAACGAAAAGCCUCUUUCUAAUAAAGAGGGGUCAUGACGGUACCGAAAGAAUAAGCACCGGCUAACUACGUG